Molecule: ribosomal RNA, 449 nt
Filed under: uncultured bacterium
Lineage: Bacteria
Description: bacterial SSU rRNA
Rfam family: Bacterial small subunit ribosomal RNA
Source: RNAcentral
UGGGGAAUUUUGGACAAUGGGGGGAACCCUGAUCCAGCAACGCCGCGUGAAUGAAGAAGGCCUUAGGGUUGUAAAGUUCUUUUAUAUAGGAGCAAAGUCUGAGUGGUAAUAUAAUUCAGGUAUGAGAGUACUAUAUGAAUAAGCACCGGCUAACUACGUGCCAGCAGCCGCGGUAAUACGUAGGGUGCGAGCGUUAAUCGGAAUUACUGGGCGUAAAGGGUGAGUAGGCGGGACUAUAAGUUAGAUGUGAAAUACCUGUGCUUAACAUAGGAGGUGCAUUUAAGACUGUAGACCUAGAGUAUGUGAGAGGCUGGUAGAAUUCCAAGUGUAGCAGUGAAAUGCGUAGAGAUUUGGAGGAAUACCGAAGGCGAAGGCAGCCAGCUGGGAUAAUACUGACGCUGAGUCACGAAAGUGUGGGUAGCAAACAGGAUUAGAUACCCCCGUAGUCC